CCAUCUUAAUAAAAAAAUAAAAAAGAUCCUGGUCGGAAUGCAUGUGCUAUGCUGUAGUAAUAACACAUGAAUUGGUUGCAUGUCACUCUUGCGAGGUCUUUUCUUUUGAGUAUAUAUCAAAAUCUCACACUGCCAUGACUCACACAAAAUCCCACAUUCGGAACCUAAAAAACCCCUCCGAUCUCGCACAGGUACUCUCCUUCUCCAUCUCCAAAAAAGAAUAAAAUUAAAAAAAAAAGUGAAAAGAAAAAAAAAUGAUUAACCUAGGAGGAGAAAAGUAUUACCUUUUAUUUUUUACCGUCUUUCUAUUGUUUGCAUUUAUUUUUCAUCUAUAUUCUCCAAAAUUUUCCUCUAUUUUCUCUAUCCUUAGAAGCCUCAAUCGGGUGCAUAUGCUCGGCUUGCAGCAAAAGACUACCGUCGCGGUCGGGGAGUAAGAAGGCUAACCCCUCGUAUGCGAUCCCACCAGGUCCAUGAACACCGACCAGCCCCAUUCGAAGUUGACGUCGUAGAUUGGCAAUGGACCCAGUUGAAAGUGAGCGAACUCCCUAAUCUCCUUUUCUUCUUAAACCAUGCAUGAUCGAAUAGGGAAGCUCAGGAAUGCCACAUGGCUUUCUCUUCUUGUUUCCCA
Molecule: long non-coding RNA, 628 nt
Filed under: Elaeis guineensis (African oil palm)
Lineage: Eukaryota; Viridiplantae; Streptophyta; Magnoliopsida; Arecales; Arecaceae
Description: long non-coding RNA (EGUI_LNC003358)
Source: RNAcentral